Molecule: ribosomal RNA, 253 nt
Filed under: uncultured bacterium
Lineage: Bacteria
Description: partial 16S ribosomal RNA
Rfam family: Bacterial small subunit ribosomal RNA
Source: RNAcentral
UACGAAGGGGGCUAGCGUUGUUCGGAAUCACUGGGCGUAAAGGGCGCGUAGGCGGCUUUGUAAGUCGGGGGUGAAAGCCUGUGGCUCAACCACAGAAUUGCCUUCGAUACUGCAUGGCUUGAGACCGGAAGAGGUAAGUGGAACUGCGAGUGUAGAGGUGAAAUUCGUAGAUAUUCGCAAGAACACCAGUGGCGAAGGCGGCUUACUGGUCCGGUUCUGACGCUGAGACGCGAAAGCGUGGGGAGCGAACAGG